UGGAUACAGAAGAAGCCGUCACUCAAGGUGGGACACUCCUGACAUGCAAACUGAUAUUUCAGAAUACCUUUUUAGGAUCGGUUUAGGGUUACGGAUGUUAGAGCUGUGAUGGUGGUGUGUCCCGUGCCUCCAUUGUGACUCUUGUCCGCCACCUCCGUCUCCCUGCCCAGUGUGUGUGUGCCACAUUUCACCAUGACCCUACACCCUCUCCUCGUCCUGUCCCACGCCCUGGGGCUCUUGGCGCUGUGUUGUCUGUCGUCCAGUGUGAACAGCAGCAGCUUCAGCACUGUUGCCCGCCGGAUAAUGACAAACCAGAUCCGAUGCUCUCAAGCAUGUAAGUUUGAAUCAGGGUCACACUGAAAUGCACACAGAUACAUUUACGAAAUGUAGCCUAAUGUUCACUGAUCAGUUAUUAAUAUGUAGUCUUGCUGUUACUUGUGGAAACAGUAGUUACUUUUAACCUGUCUGAAAGCUUUGUAGAACAUGAGCUGCAUGCUACCUACCUGCCUGUGAAAGCUUAGUACCGCCAAACAGGAACUUGGCGGAUCUGGGAGUAGUUGGUAGAAUAUCAUCUUUUUAAAGAAGCAAAGCCAUGUGUUGCUUCUCCAAAUCACAUAUCUCUACUCGAAGGACAUAUCAUUUGAAAGAAGCCAUGUGUUUCAGAUUUAACAUGAAAGUGAUGCGUCGGUCUGACUGUGUUGUUUAUGAGCCUGGUGCUGCCAUUGCAGCUAUAGCCCUUGAGUCUGUUGUGAGGUGUUCUUUAUUAAAUUCCAUCCACACCCAUGGGGCUACCUGCGGGUCCCGUUGGACAAAUGUGGCAGAUCCAAACAUAAACCAACAGCAGUCUAUCUUGUUGGGAGUUGCUGUAAAUAUCCCAGACCACCGCCUCUUCCCCCCACACGUCCCACCGUAAACAAGGUUUGCGAGAGGCGUGCACUGUGGUUUCAGAGUAGUAGAGCUCAAAAACAAGGCUGACAUUACCAUCUGGAAGAAUGUAAUGCGUGGGAUGAGCGCUAUAAAUACACAGCCUUUCAGCAUUCCAGCUUUCAGUCCUGUAUGUAUCGGUCACCUCAAGCCCCUAGCAUGGCUUGACCCCUCUAGCACCUUCUGGUUUUCCAACACCCCUGCUUCUCCCAAGUCCUGAAUGUCCAC
Molecule: long non-coding RNA, 1152 nt
Organism: Esox lucius (northern pike)
Lineage: Eukaryota; Metazoa; Chordata; Actinopteri; Esociformes; Esocidae
Source: Ensembl